AGAAAGAAAAAUAGUGGAUAAAAGCAUGAAAGAAAAACUACUCCUCAAUCUGAAACAAAUUGGGUCAGCUCUACGAAUAAGAUUAUUUCAUUAUGUAUUGCUGAACCCAUCAUUCUUUUGCCCUAAGAAUGGUCCUAAAACGACCCUAAUAAUGUGAAACAGUCUCACCACAAGACUGAAACUUCAGCCCAUACAGUCUAAAGAGCCCCCGGAAGAUGCUUGAAACAUAGGAAAAUCAUUCAACUAACAGAUUAAUUUAGGUAUGAUUAUGAGCUUUCAGUGUGCACGCGAAUCUUAAACUUUGGAAUCGCUUAAAAGUAAGGAGCUCUCAAAAACAUAUUCUUGGAGCAUUACCCAUCAAAUGAACCUUUUCUAAAUGGUAAGAUGCAGAAACAAAGUUUUUCAGAUAACCAAAGUGCUACGACUAGAAUUAGGUAAAAUGACAUUAUCGGCGACAAGAUAAUAAAAUGUUAUGAAAGCUUAAAUGUAUGGUUUUACAUUCAGUAAUUGCAUGUGAAGGUUUCGAAAAGAAAAAAUGGCAGCCCUAAACACAAUUCAUUUCCAUCCUACUCAUUAACUGUUUUCUUAAAACUGCUGAUAAAAUUUGGUGCUAAGAUAGGAACGCACUUAAGCAAAAUAGAAAGGCCUGUGAUAUCCCAGUAUAUUUCUUUCAUGCUUUUGGAAACUCAUGUGCCUGCAGGAACCAAAUAUUCCGGUCAGAUAGCUCAUCAAAACCUUCCACCUUAAAAUAUAUGCCCAGUUUGGUUACUAGGAAGGGUGUUCAAGAUAUUCAAAAACUUUUUUUGUACGGAGCUUCGGUAAAUAUAUUAGCCAACAUAGAGAAGAACAAGCAUGAGAAGAUUUAUAUUUGGUUCAUUUUAGGAGUGAAAAGUUUCAGCCCAGACCAACUUAGACUGCAAUUGCUUCAUAGGAGUAUCCAUGCUAACCCAGUAACGUUUAGAGCUUUAAUGGUUCAGCAAGAGAAGCCCCUAUUUUCCAAGAAACCCAUUGCAUACCCUUUACAACCAGUCCACCACCACAACCCUACCCAAACGAGGAAACAAAAUGGGGAAUUUAAGAAAAGACAGCAGAAAAAAAUUGUAGAAUUAUAGAAAAUCAAACUAAACCCAGUUACUACUUGCAUGAAUAUUAAUAGAAGUUUCCAGAGUAAAGGUAUGAAUAAAGUAGGUGUUUAAUGACGAUUACAAAUUAUUAGCUAUUCUGUUACACCCACACAAAAAAAAAUAAGAGAUAUGUAGUAACAUAAUUUUCAAAAUACAAUAAAUAAAAGGUAUCCAAUUUACAGCCCAAUAAUUUGUGAUGUCAUUCUUUCUAGUUGCCAGUUCUAAGUUAUUCAACAGGGUAAAACCACAGCUGCACAACCAUACGUUCUGUUCAUAGAUGUAUAGAGUCAAUAGGUUUCACCAUCUCACUUUUAAUUUGUUGGUUUUCCAUUCAUGUUAAAAAAAUGUCUUUCAGAUUUCUCUCUUUUUCUAGAGUACAAGUGAAAAGUUAGAGCAGUAUUGGGGUAAAUCCAUUACUGCUGUUAUUCACCACUCACUAUAAAUAACCUGCGAAAGUGAUACAAGUUACAUGGUACUUCAGCCUCAUCCUAUGUAGAAGCCUAGAAGAAGCUAGCAAGGCAAGGAUGGUAUGCCAUAUUACUCUCCCAUACAGUGUUGAAAAAAGGAAAGGGAGGAGGGAUGUCACUCCACAAGAGCUUUUCUGCUCCCUUUCCGCAUAAAUAUGUCCAGUCAUCAACACAAAAUGCAAGAAACAGAAGCACAAUAUCAAAACUGGUGCAAGGUGUAGGUAGAGCUUCUUCCGAUAAAAAAAAGGUGUAGGUAGAGCAACUGGUCAAAGAGUGUAGGUAGAGCUAGUUACCUAAAUAACACUGGCACGUUGAAAUAUGAGAAGUAGGAAAAGAGCACCAGAAGGCAAAAAUAUUAGACAAUUUAACAAACAUCAUAAGAUCAGUCUACAUGUUUCAGUAGAAGGAAGAUUAGACAGUCAUUGAUCCAAUUCAAGACUGUGCAACACUAACUCGAAUUCUGAUCGGUAUACAUAAUCGGUG
This 2074-nucleotide long non-coding RNA is filed under the name Nicotiana benthamiana. Its description in RNAcentral is "long non-coding RNA (NBEN_LNC014732)". The record is from RNAcentral. Lineage: Eukaryota; Viridiplantae; Streptophyta; Magnoliopsida; Solanales; Solanaceae.